Molecule: ribosomal RNA, 497 nt
Filed under: uncultured bacterium
Lineage: Bacteria
Description: partial 16S ribosomal RNA
Rfam family: Bacterial small subunit ribosomal RNA
Source: RNAcentral
GAUGAACGCUGGCGGCGUGCCUAAUACAUGCAAGUCGAGCGAACGGACGAGGAGCUUGCUUUUCUGAUGUUAUCGGCGGACGGGUGAUUAACACGUGGAUAACCUACCUCUAAGACUGGGGUAACAUCGGGAAACCGGAUCUACUGCCGGAUAAUAUUUUGAACUGCAUGGUUCAAGAGUGAAAUACGGUCUUGCUGUGACUUAUAGAUGACUCCGCGCUCGAUGAACUAGUUGGUAAGGGAACGGCUUACCAAGGCUACGAUGCAAAGCCGACCCAAAAGGGUGGUCCGCCACACUGGCACUGAGACACGGUCCAGACUCCUACGGGAAGCCGCAGCAGGGACUCCUCCGCGAGGGGCGAGAGGCUGAUGGAGCAAAGUCGCGGGAAUGAUGAAGGUCCUCUGAUCGUAGAGCUCUGUUAUUAGUGGAGAACAAAAGUGUAAGUAACUGUGAACAUCUUGACGGUACCGAGUGAGAAAGCCACGGCUAACUACGUG